Molecule: non-coding RNA, 949 nt
Filed under: Lactoria cornuta (longhorn cowfish)
Lineage: Eukaryota; Metazoa; Chordata; Actinopteri; Tetraodontiformes; Ostraciidae
Description: 12S ribosomal RNA
Rfam family: Bacterial small subunit ribosomal RNA
Source: RNAcentral
CAAAGGUUUGGUCCUGACUUUACUAUCAACUUUAGCUAAAUUUACACAUGCAAGUAUCCGCACCCCUGUGAGAAUGCCCUACAGUCCCCCGCCCGGGAACAAGGAGCUGGUAUCAGGCACACUCAUUUAAUAGCCCAAAACGCCUUGCUUAGCCACACCCUCAAGGGAAUUCAGCAGUGAUAAAUAUUAAGCCAUAAGUGAAAACUUGACUUAGUUAAAGCUAAGAGGGCCGGUAAAACUCGUGCCAGCCACCGCGGUUAUACGAGAGACCCAAGUUGUUAGUUUCCGGCGUAAAGCGUGGUUAAAAACAAAUACACAUUAAAGCCGAAAAUUUUCAAAGCUGUUAUACGCACCCGAGAAUAAAAAGACCAAUAACGAAAGUAGCUUUAUUUAUUUUGAACCCACGAAAGCUAUGGCACAAACUGGGAUUAGAUACCCCACUAUGCCUAGCCGUAAACAUCGAUAGUAACAUACAAUACCUAUCCGCCCGGGUACUACGAGCAUCAGCUUAAAACCCAAAGGACUUGGCGGUGCUUUAGAUCCACCUAGAGGAGCCUGUUCUAGAACCGAUAACCCCCGUUCAACCUCACCCUUUCUUGCCUCCCCCGCCUAUAUACCACCGUCGUCAGCUUACCCUGUGAAGGCCCUAUAGUAAGCAAAAUUGGCAUAGCCCAAAACGUCAGGUCGAGGUGUAGCGUAUGAAAGGGGAAGAAAUGGGCUACAUUCACUUUCUCAGUGAACACGAAAGACAUAUUGAAAUAUAAGUCCAAAGGAGGAUUUAGCAGUAAGCAGAAAAUAGAGUGUCCUGCUGAAACCGGCCCUGAAGCGCGCACACACCGCCCGUCACUCUCCCCAAGCUUCCUCAAACCAAAUAAUUAAAAAUAUAUAAAUGCAAAGGGGAGGCAAGUCGUAACAUGGUAAGUGUACCGGAAGGUGCACUUGGAAAAAU